Molecule: ribosomal RNA, 524 nt
Filed under: Roseobacter sp. g6-3
Lineage: Bacteria; Pseudomonadati; Pseudomonadota; Alphaproteobacteria; Rhodobacterales; Roseobacteraceae
Description: bacterial SSU rRNA
Rfam family: Bacterial small subunit ribosomal RNA
Source: RNAcentral
CCUUCGGGACCGAGCGGCGGACGGGUUAGUAACGCGUGGGAACAUACCCAGAUCUACGGAAUAGCCUCGGGAAACUGAGAGUAAUACCGUAUACGCCCUUCGGGGGAAAGAUUUAUCGGAUUUGGAUUGGCCCGCGUUAGAUUAGAUAGUUGGUGAGGUAACGGCUCACCAAGUCUACGAUCUAUAGCUGGUUUUAGAGGAUGAUCAGCAACACUGGGACUGAGACACGGCCCAGACUCCUACGGGAGGCAGCAGUGGGGAAUCUUAGACAAUGGGCGCAAGCCUGAUCUAGCCAUGCCGCGUGUGUGAUGAAGGCCUUAGGGUCGUAAAGCACUUUCGCCAGAGAUGAUAAUGACAGUAUCUGGUAAAGAAACCCCGGCUAACUCCGUGCCAGCAGCCGCGGUAAUACGGAGGGGGUUAGCGUUGUUCGGAAUUACUGGGCGUAAAGCGUACGUAGGCGGAUCAGAAAGUAUGGGGUGAAAUCCCGGGGCUCAACCCCGGAACUGCCUCAUAAACUCCUGGUC